Molecule: transfer RNA, 71 nt
Filed under: Clathrus columnatus
Lineage: Eukaryota; Fungi; Basidiomycota; Agaricomycetes; Phallales; Clathraceae
Also listed under: 1 other name
Description: tRNA-Glu
Rfam family: tRNA
About the family: Transfer RNA (tRNA) molecules are approximately 80 nucleotides in length. Their secondary structure includes four short double-helical elements and three loops (D, anti-codon, and T loops). Further hydrogen bonds mediate the characteristic L-shaped molecular structure. tRNAs have two regions of fundamental functional importance: the anti-codon, which is responsible for specific mRNA codon recognition, and the 3' end, to which the tRNAs corresponding amino acid is attached (by aminoacyl-tRNA synthetases). tRNAs cope with the degeneracy of the genetic code in two manners: having more than one tRNA (with a specific anti-codon) for a particular amino acid; and 'wobble' base-pairing, i.e. permitting non-standard base-pairing at the 3rd anti-codon position.
Source: RNAcentral
GGUCUUUUAGUUCAAUGGUAAAAUCACUGUCUUUCGUACAGUAGCUACCAGUUCGAAUCUGGUAAAGAUCA